UAUCCAUGUUGUGGGCGGCGUCAAAUCAAAUUUUUAUACCUUUCCCAAGCUUCAUAGUGUGAUUCAAAAUCAUUUUUCUUAAAAUUGACCAAUCUCAUCCCUGAGUUG
Malania oleifera is the source of this 108-nucleotide small nucleolar RNA. NCBI's taxonomy places the organism in Eukaryota, Viridiplantae, Streptophyta, Magnoliopsida, Santalales, Ximeniaceae. The record is from RefSeq and is a predicted model, not a curated record.